UACGAAGGGGGCGAGCGUUGGUCGGAAUAACUGGGCGUAAAGGGCACGCAGGCGGGUGUUUAAGUGAGAGGUGAAACCCCCGGGCUUAACCUGGGAAUAGCAUUUCAGACUGGGAGUCUAGAGUACUUUAGGGAGGGGUAGAAUUGCACGUGUAGAGGUGAAAUGCGUAGAGAUGUGGAGGAAUACCGAAGGCGAAGGCAGCUCCUUGG
Molecule: ribosomal RNA, 209 nt
Filed under: uncultured bacterium
Lineage: Bacteria
Description: partial 16S ribosomal RNA
Rfam family: Bacterial small subunit ribosomal RNA
Source: RNAcentral